This 32651-nucleotide long non-coding RNA is filed under the name Vitis vinifera (wine grape). RNAcentral describes it as "long non-coding RNA (VVIN_LNC001392)". The record is from RNAcentral. Lineage: Eukaryota; Viridiplantae; Streptophyta; Magnoliopsida; Vitales; Vitaceae.
UAAUGUGGUGGCUUCUCUCCCUUAGGUGGCUUGCCAACUGGGGUUGGUGGCUUGUGUUCAGGAAGUGGUUUCUCUCCCAUGGGAGGUUUAGCAAUUGGGGUUGGUGGCUUGUGUUCUGGGAGUGGCUUCUCUCCCUUGGGAGGUUUAGUAGGUGACUUGUGUUCUGGAGGUGGCUUCUCCACCGGAGGCUUGUGCUCCGGUGGUGGCUUCUUGGUUGGAGGGGGCUUGGGGUAAUCAGCAAGAGAUGGGGUGGUGAGAACCACCAGUCCAAGGAACAACACUAGCAAGUAUGUGGGAGACAUUUUUGAGUUUGGGCUGAUCAGAUGAUGCAAAACUAAAGCAUUACGUGACCUUUUAUAGCAUGUAGCUCCCAAUACCCACUAAGUAUUGUGGGGUCCAUUUGUGCCCUACGGGGUUGAAAACUUAGACAAUUGGGCAAGGACCCACCUGACUAUGGAGGACUAGUGAGGUGUGAUCAUAGCUUUAGGAUUUUUCUUCCUCUGCAGCCGUCGUGCCGUUGGCAUGAUUUUCUUAAUCUUAAAUAAAGGCAUAGUUAUAGAGUUGUUUAAUCUCUAAAUGGGAUUUUAUAUAUAUCUUCAGAUAGCCAUUAAUAUAUUUGAUGAAGAAAGAAAGACAAGUGCAUACAACAUGUAUACGACUAGCUUUCAUGGAGUUCAUUUAUGAUCAGUUUUCCUGUACAUGUAAACCAGGAUCAUAUAUAUGUUUCUGUUCCACAACUAUUUUGGAAUCUUGUUUAUCAGUUUUUAUCAUUAUAAUGUCACAUAGGCUGCCAACUUGGGCGCUAAAAGAACCAGUUGGGCUAGUUCGUUUCAGAAUUUCAAUGUGGAUUCAGGAAUUGUUUUGUAAGAUAUGCGAAAUAGUAGAGGGAUGAAUAGUGUUUCAUUAAUAAAAGUGUCCUGUAAAUUAGAAGGUGUCAUAGAAACUAUAAUCAAUAAAUAACUUUUUUUCCCCACGGGUGGUGUUUCUUGUGGGGAUCAGUGACUGGUUUAGGUUCACCCAAAAUGAGUUCAGACUAAAAUUGGUUUGAGUCAAUGCCGUGUCUCUUUUUUCCAGAAAUCAACUAUUUUAUGCAUUGAAUAAAUCAUACAAAGAAAAUAUGAACGCCCGCAAAACCUAAACCCUGGUUGCUAACUUUCUAUGUUUCAGUUCUAUUCACGCAAGAAUAUUAGUUUAAGUUUGGGAAAAAUGGCAACUUACCUAGUGAUUACUUGGUUUUGGUUUGCGACUAUUUACGCAACCAACCAUGAGUUUGACUUUAACGUCAUGGGUUGAAGCCUCCUACAGGAAGGGAGAAAGCUCCACAGCUAGCUCCAAAAGAGAAUUAUCACAUUGAUAGCUCCAGAGAUUCCCAAGGGGACUGAAUCAAAGACAAGUUCCUCACUUUUUCUUCUUUUGAGGCCAAAUAUGAACCAAGGAUCACACAACCUCAUUCAACUUCAUAAGUUUGAUUUCAUGCAGUUGAACACUGGGUGAAGGCCAUGACAAGAAUUGAUUCAAAAAUUCUAUCACUCUUUUAAGUAAUGGAAGAUUAUUAUCUCUGAUUGGCAUCACAACAGCACAUGCUCCUAGAUCUUUCUAGACACUCCAUGCAAUGAAAGCACAAUGGAUCUUGUAACGAUAGAAACUAAGCCAUGCUACAGUACUAGAUGAUGAGGUAAAACUAGUAGACACGGGUGGCAGCCUAUAUGGGAGGGACACAAGUCUAAUUGAUUUGCAUUUCAGCAUUAUAGAUAGGUAUGUUUUGGAAGAUUUGUUCUGGAAAUACCGCACCAAGUAGGAUUCUUUUUCUCUUUAGUGGGUCCACUUGCAUGCCAAUUAACGAGUUGAAAAGUAUGAGCACCUACCUCGUGCUCGUGGAACCGAAGGUCAGUGAAGUGGGGCUCCUUUUGGCCUCGUGUAAACUUGAUUCAGAAGUGAAGUUAAUAGUCUUCCAUUCAGAUGGAUACAUGGGAAUUUUUCUCUUUUAUUUAUUUAUUUAUUUUUUUUUUGUGUGUGUAUGUCAAAGGAUAAUGAAUGAAGCGCGUUAGCUUGUUUUCUGACUGGAACCGCAGAUGUCCAAAUUGGAGUUCCUUCAUUUCUUACUUAGGAUUGUUACAUGUAUAAACAAGGUAUAAGAAAUAUGCCAACGUGUCUUGAGGAGUUAUUGAUUAGAAAUAACAAGUCACCCGACUGUAGAGUUCCAAGAUUUGAAUCUUCAGACCCUAUAGCAGCCUCUGGGGUACGUGGCAUCCUAUAGCAUAUUAAUGAAGGCUUUUUCGAUUUAGACUUCACAAUACCAAUUAAUAUGUAUGCACAAAAUGGAGAUGACCCCAAAAAAAACAGAAUCGCCAUAGUUUAUGAGGUUAAGGUGAUUCUCCACUUAAUAUCUACAUUAGCUAAUUAUGUAAAUCAAAUGAACUUCUAUUUUUCCUUUUUUUUUUUGGUUUAUGUCAAAUAGUAGCCCAUAAUUAACCCAACCAUUAGCCUGUUUGAAUUGAUUUCACAUGCACAAUGUUGUAGUAGUUCAUAUUUUGAAUUUUAUUUUUACAAAGGUAGUUAAGGAAAAUGAAGUAUAAUAAUUAUAAAAGCAGACUAUAUACACUACAAUAAUUGUUAGAAUGGUAUCUCAAAUUCUAAUUUAAAAUAUUAUUUUUUGUAAAAGAAAUAUUAUAUAGAAUAUUUCCUAAUUUUAUAAAUGAUUAUAAUUAGAUCUUUAUAAAAUAAGGAAAGUUGGUAAGAAUAUCUUUAUAAAUAUUUUAGGUCAUGAGAGAAAGAAAUGGGAUAAAAAUGUGAUGAAGAGGUGAAAUAAGAGAGUUGAUUAGGAUAUAGAUGUGAAGAAGAAAGGGAUUCAAUAUAUAUAUAUCUUUCAAUUACCACAUUAAAACCCUGUGAACCUUUUAUAUGGUUUACUUUAUUUUUAUAUUCCUCCUUUAAUAUAUUUACAUUAAUGCUUCCAUUGGCACAACAAUAACGAAUUACAAAUACAAGCAACAAGUCCCAUGUUUUAUUACCAAAAGCAGGUAAAAUCCACCUAAUAUAUUACAAUAUAUUCAUCCAAUAUUUUAGACCAAUUCUUCACCAUAAAUAUCAUAAUGUGGCUUUUGUUCUUUCUUAAAUUUAAAUUGAAUUGUCUUAUAUCAAUUUGUUUGUGAUUUUUUCAUUAACUUCACUUUCAUUUGGUUAUCUUUGGUUUUUGAAAAGUAUUAAGGAAUUAAUUAACAAAAUAAUGUUAAGAAAAAUAAUUUUCUCUCUUUUGAUUUUGAUUUUGUAGUAGAAAAAUAUAAUUAAAAUUAUUUAAAAAGUAUGUAAUUUUAAAUUAUUUAAUAUUUAGAUAAAAAAAAUAAGUCUAAUGAGUUUAAAAUAACAUAUAAAAAUAAUUUAUUUAUUUUAAAUUUAUUUUUUAUUUUCCAUUAUGUUCUCUUUCUCUUUUACUUUUUCAUAUUUUUUCUUACGAAGAAUCAAACACAACCUCAUAUUAUAUGUCAAGUGUUUGUCUAUAUUUGAGCAAUGUUAGAUACGGCCAUGGAUUCAUCAAACUAAACUGAUUUUAAUAGAUACUUCACAAAUUGAUUUAUACACUAAAUCAUUGGAUAGCAAUGAUGCAUUGGAAUUAAACGUAGGAUGAAGCUCGAAGAACACUGUUUGUGUAACAACAUAUUUAUGAAAUUAUGCAAAGGAUGAGCUUCGGGGUAGUAGUACAAGGUCAUUAAUGGAGAGCCGUGUUAAACCUUGAUUGUGAUUGGAUUCCGUUAUCAGCAACAGCAACCUUGUUUGUAACCUUGAAAGUCAUUCUGUCCACAUCGAAACUCCAAUUUGACGUUUGUAAUUACCAUUCCUGGAGUGUUCCUUGAUUGAAAUUUAAAUAAUAAUUGCGGCCCACAAGGAAUAUUUUCGAUUCUGUGGGAAUUUGACAAGGUUUGUUAGAGAAGACUGGUGACAUGUUGACUUCAAUGGUUCAAAUAGGAGACGUAUGUGGAUUUGGGGGGUUUAAUUGAAACUGAGUCCCUAUGGCUUUUUAAUAUUUGCAUUGAGCAGUCUCCAUGUGACUUCCUAAUUCCCACCAACCCUCCUGUCCAUGCUGUGAAACUAAAUUGUAAUUUAUCAGCCUUUGUCAAUGGUUUCUAAAUUAAAGAUAUAGACCAUGCAUGUACUUUAAUAAAAGCAAAUCUAAAGUGUAGAUAGCAGCAAUGGUGACACCCAAUAUUCUCCAUAAAAUAGAAUUAGAAUAAGCAGUGUUACAUUGUUCAUGAUCACCUACAAGCAUACAAGAACUUCCAUGAAUAACUCAUAGCAAUUGCCAACAGGGCGUCGUAGAGACUCAUACAUAGAACACUAUCCACCCAGAGGAAAGGACAAGACCAGUGCGCUGCAGCUCUUAUUUUUCACAUGUAUACCACCACUCGUAAUAACCAAAUUCACUCAGUUGGGAUAGGUGGGAGAUGGUGGUUUGUGGGGUGGCUUGUGGGGAGGAGUUGGAGGAGGCUUUAUUUUCUGAGGCGGCUUGUAUGAGUGUGCAGGAGGAUGCCCGGGAGUGUGACCAUAAUGUGGUGGCUUCUCUCCCGUAGGUGGUUUGCCAAAUGGGCUUGGUGGCUUCUCUCCCUUAGGAGGUUUACCAAUUGGGGUUGGUGGCUUGUGUUCUGGGAGUGGUUUCUCUCCCUUGGUAGGUUUGCCAAUUGGGGUUGGCGGCUUAUGUUCUGGGAGUGGCUUCUCUCCCUUGGGAGGUUUGCUAAUUGGGGUUGGCGGCUUAUGUUCUGGGGGCGGCUUCUCUCCCUUGGGAGGUUUGCCAAUUGGAGUUGGCGGCUUAUGUUCUGGGAGUGGCUUUUCUCCCUUGGGAGGCUUGCCAAUUGGGGUUGGCGGCUUAUGUUCUGGGGGUGGCUUCUCUCCUUUAGGAGGUUUGCCAAUUGGAGUCGGCGGCUUAUGUUCUGGAAGUGGCUUUUUUCCCUUGGGAGGUUUGCCAAUUGGGGUUGGCGGCUUAUGUUCUGGGGGUGGCUUCUCUCCCUUGGGAGGUUUGCCAAUUGGAGUCGGCGGCUUAUGUUCUGGGAGUGGCUUCUCUCCCUUGGGAGGUUUUGUUGGUGGCUUGUGUUCUGGAGAUGGCUUCUCCCCUGGAGGCUUGUGCUCCGGAGGUGGCUUCUGAAAUGGCGGGGGCUUGGGGUAAUGAGCAAGAGAUGGAGUACUGGUGAGAACCACCAUUCCAAGCAACAAUACUAGCAAGCAUGUGGGAGACAUCUUUGAGUAGUUGUAGCUAAGAUGGCGCAACACUGUAGGCAUUGGGUGGCCUUUUAUAAAGGGCUGGACCCAACAGCCAUAUGACACGUGUCAUGAUGACAAAUGAAGUUGAGGGGAUCCAGAUGGGUCCUACUGAGUCGAAAACUUGCACUAAUUGAUCUGGUGAGAUGACUAUUUCUGUCCUUUUGCCCUUCUCGGCCACCCUGUGCUGUUUUCCUUUUGCACGAUUUUCGUUGCCAAACAAGCAAAUAAUAUUUCGCCAAGAAAGAGGAGAGUGAAUGUGGAAUGCAUCAAGUCCCAUCAAGGAUGGCAGAGAAGAAAUAGAAGAUUGCCCAACUGUGAUAAACAUAGCAUACACGUAGCACCAGGAACUUCAUUUACUUCCAUCUAAUGGAACAUAACAAUCUUCUAAAGUUUUUGCAUGAUUUUGUUAUAUGUCUCUUAGCCUAAAGUUGGAAAUGCGCAACAAAUUUUGUCACUUCUCUAUUUCCCACUGAUGAUGUUAAUUAGCCUUCAUAGAUAUCAUCCUUUCUACAAAGUGCUUCAUUUGUGUGUUAUUGUAAAGUGUAAGAAAAGUAAUUGAACAUGUUCUUUUUCCUUUCAUAGAUGACUUUUGAUGUGCAUUUUAAAAGCAGCGCUGUGAGUCGGUGACCUUGAUUCACACGGAAACUAAGGCUCCUAUAGGACCCACUUUUAGCUGGUUAGGGGUGAAGAAAAUAUCAACUUUUCAGAGUGAUUUAAGUCAAGGCCAAGCCUCACUGUGUCAUUACUCGUGUGAAUUUUAUAUGCACAUACAUACAUAAAUAAAGUAUGAGACCCAAAUAACACCUUCCCUUUACAAACUUAACCCCAGCCGCUCUCUUUCAAUUCUUUUCACACAAGGGUAUUGACUCUAUAAAGGUCAAGAAAAUCAUAAUUUCCUAGGGUUUACAAGGUAAUUGGCUUAAUGCUAAUGUGAAAACAUAAAAGAUAAUAGUAUAUUGUAAGCUAACGAAUAUUCUAUAGUUAUAAUUAUUUGUGAUGUGCAUAAAUAAAUCUUCAUAUAUAUAAUGGAACAAUGAAUAAAGAACCAAUGAAAAAAUACUAUAUAUCAUUGCUUGGCAUUUAAACCGUAUAUGCUGCUCUUUCUAGCUACUCCAUCCACUGAAAGACAACAAGGUAAUCCAUGUUAUAAUGAUAGAAGAUACUGUCUCUAGGCUUUUUGUGAUGAAAAAUAUAAGAUAUGGGUAGGGUUGACCCUUGUAUGUUUGUCCUAUAAACACUUCAAAGUAACAUAUUUUUCUUCUUUAGCAACUCAUAAUGAUGGGGUUCAUUUGCAUGUCACUGAGUUGAAAAGUUGGACAAUUGCCCAUGUCGCCUUCCUCCUAGAUUCCGUAGUUCACGGGAAGGUAACUCAAGUUUGACAUAUUUUGAAUUCUUUUCACUCGGACGUCUUCAUAACCUGACAAAACAAAAAUGAAAAACAGAGGAUUGGUAUAUUAUUCAUGGUAAGCCUCAAAUUAUAGUAGUAUGAGAAAGGAGAAAAAGAUUUUGGGAACUCCAAUCUGGAUAAUUCUCGUUUCUUCUCUUGAAUAAAAAUUUCACUUACCUAACUUCGUUUGGAGAAAUGGCAUAUUUUAAUUUUGUACGUCAUUGCUAAUAAAUGGAGCAAUUUAGCAUGUUUUGUGACUGAAACUGCAAAUGUCCAAUUGGCAUUUCUUCAUUUCCCACUUAGGAUCUGAUCUUGUAGACCAUAUAACGAUAUGUAUCUGUGCAAGCAUUGAAAACUAAUGUGAACUAUGAGGAGUUACAAGCCACUGGACUGUAGAGCGAGUGCCAAGAUUUAAAUCUUCAGGCUCUAUCUGGGUAAGGGGAGGAUAGCGACCUAACCUUUUACCAAAGGCUUAGAAUUUAGACUUUUGGAAAAAAAUUUCUCAUGUUUUGGCUGGAUUUCUUGUGCUUGGCGCAAAAAGGAGAUGGCCUCAAGAAAUAGCAGACUCACUUUUGUUUUCAGCCCUUAAUAAUUCUCCACUGCUUUCCAUAACUACAUGGGUUAUACAUGCAGUCUGCUGCAAUAUUCCAGUUAUAUUUAUUAUUUCAAAGAGGGUGAAUGACUUCACAUGCAAUAUGUUGCAGUAACAACCCAAAUUUUGGCACACCAUCUUAAGAAUAGAAAAGUAUAAUAAAAGAAAUCAAUCAGAGAAUCACUUUGCAUGCAGUUCAUAGAGUUCGCCCAAAAUGGAGCCACAUGUACGGACAACCCCACAAUAGACAAUCUUCUCUAUACAGUAAUAAAAUACAGAAAUGGUUAAUGAAGCUCUGUAUUUCCUUAUCAUAUAUGACCGGUUGAAAACUCAGCAAGUCUUCCUCAAUCACAGACAGUUGGAGUUGCUUCAUCAAAAUCAUGCCUUCAUUACUGGCUUCAUUUUGGUUUCAAUGUCUGUUCUACCCUUAAAUUGGGUCUCUGCUUACUACCGGGAUAUCCUUUAGCGUCCUGCAAUUCUACUAGAUUAAAGAGAAUGACUUAAUUCUGCAUUCUGCCGUCCCUAGUCCAAGUGGUACUAGAAUUGAUGUUUCCUUUAGUGUCCUUUCUUCAUACUUUCAGGUUCUUCCCUUGUUUCAAUAAUGCUGUUUUCCUUCAUGUUUAACCUCUGUUGAACCACUUAAAACAACACAAUUUGCACACCAAUGUUUCUUUACAGAAAAGACUGUUUGCAAAAAUGCACAUGUUAUAAGGUUAAUGGAAGAAUUAAUUUGGGGAUAAGGGACUAGGAUUGGGCCAAUGAAGUUUGGUGUUAAAUUUUGAUUAUGAUUGCUUUUCAUUAUCAGGUACCUUAUAUUUGCUGAUGCUAUCUGGAACUAAAUUCAAAUCAGACAUUAUCCGAUUACUAACAGGACAUAUCAUGUCCCUCUGCAGAGUUUCUAAACUAACAUGUAUCGAAAUGUGGCCCCAAAAGGAAGGCUAGGAAGAUGGAGGAUUUUGUAGGAAUCGACCAGAAUCAGAUGGAAGAGAGAUAGUCCUGUUGACUUUAAUGGUUGUGAUAGGAACAUGCAUCAUUAUAUGAGAAGUUGCAUGAAUUUAUGUAUCCUGUUAUCGUUCCUUGACGAUUUCCCAAUGCAAUUUCACUGUCCACAAGACUAACCUCUCCAUGCAGUCAAAUGAAUUGUAAUUUCUCUAUUGGUACCAGUAGUACAUUUCAUACCAAACAUAUAGUAAAUAUAAAAUAUAAAUAGAUCAAGGAAAUCUGAAUUGUAGAUAGCACUGCAAGUAACACUCAAUAUUCUCUAUAUAUAAUAAAAUAAACAGUGUCACAAUACUCAUCACCCAGUGGCAAGGGAGAAAAACCUACAAUGAGUACUCAAAUCACCAUUCUCAAACAGAAACAUAGCAGUGACUGAUACAUAGAACCUAUAUGCUCACAGGGAAAGAAUAAGAUGACCAGUGCACAGCGGGCAGCAGCUCUUAUUUUACGUACAACUCAAAUCCCAAACUAACCAAAGUCGCUCAGUUGGGAUGGGUGGGAGAUGGUGGUUUGUGGGAUGGCUUCUGGGUAGGAGCUGGUGGCUUCUGUCCCUUUGGUGGUUUGCCUAAUGAGCUUGGUGGCUUGUGCUCCGGGAGUUGUUUCUCUCCCUCGAGUAGGUUUCGAGUCUUGUCAGAUGGCUUGUGUUCUGGUGGUGGCUUCUCUCCCUGGGGUGGUUUGCCGAAUGGGCUUGGUGGCUUGUGUUCGGGGAGUGGCUUCUCUCCCUGGAGAAGGUUACGAGUUUUGUCAUAUGGCUUUUGUUCUGGUGGUGGCUUCUCUCCCUGGGGUGGUUUGCCGAAUGGGCUUGGUGGCUUGUGUUCGGGGAGUGGCUUCUCUCCCUGGAGAAGGUUACGAGUUUUGUCAGAUGGCUUGUGUUCUGGUGGUGGCUUCUCUCCCUGGGGUGGUUUGCCGAAUGGGCUUGGUGGCUUGUGUUCGGGGAGUGGCUUCUCUCCCUGGAGAAGGUUACGAGUUUUGUCAGAUGGCUUUUGUUCUGGUGGCGGCUUCUCUCCCUGGGGUGGUUUGCCAAAUGGGCUUGGUGGCUUGUGUUCGGGAACUGGCUUCUCUCCCUUGGGAGGUUCAGUUGGUGGCUGCUGUUCCGUAGGUGGUUUCUUCACCGGCGGCUUGUGCUCCGGAAGCGGCUUCUCUACCUGGAGAAGCUUACGAGUUUUGUCCGAUGGCUUGUGUUGUGGUGGUGGCUUCUCUCCCUGGGGUGGUUUGCCAAAUGGAGUUGGUGGCUUGUGUUCGGGGAGUGGCUUCUCUCCAUUGGGAGGUUUAGUUGGUGAUUGGUGUUCCGUAGGUGGUUUCUGAAGUGGGGGAUGCUUGGGGUAGUCAGCAAGAGACGAGGUAGUGAGAACCACCAGUCCCAGCAGCAACACUAGCAAGCAUGUGGAAGACAUCUUUGAGUUCAGGCUGAGAUCUGUGCAAGGAUAACAGAAUUAGGUGGCCUUUUAUAGAGGCCUGGACCCAACACCCAUAUGACACGUGUCAUGCACUCAUGGUGACACAUAAUUCUAUGGGACCAUUUGGGUCCUACAGAAGUUGCAAAGUUGGACUACUGAGGUGUGAUCACAACUUUUGUCCUUAUUGCUUUCUCUGCGGCCAUUGCACGAUUUCCUUUAGCAUCAUUUUCUUGGCUAAAUAAGCGUAUUAUAUUUGUGGCAGACCGUCCACGUGUCAUAAACAGAUAUAUUAUAAUAAUGUAGUAUGCUUUUCUCCAAUGGAACAUGACACUCUUCUAAGUCUUGUUUUAAAUAUUGUGCAGGAUUACUUUAUACGUUGCAGUUCCAAGUCAAAAUUGGUGGGCAAACGUUGGCCUUUUUUCAUUUCACCUAAGAUUAAUGCUCACCUGGGAUAGGCACUACAUGACUUAUCUGCUCUUUUACUGUAAAGUUGCUUUGUGUAUGAGAUACACCUCCCCUGCACACCCUCAACAUUCGUUGCUCUGUUUUCCUUGUGUCCAGACGAGGAUAUUAAUUGGAGGCUGACAAAACGACUGCUAGCCCAGGAUUUACAAGGUCCUGGUUUGAGGCUUCGGUGAAAGUAUUUUUGAAAAGACACACAUAGAGAUAGUGCGUUUGGUGCAAUGCAGCACUGUGAGCCAUUCUGACGCGUUCUUAAUUUCAAAACUAAUGAAUGCUUCAAAAUUUUAAGAAGUGACAUUUCCAAAUAUUUGAGUUCGUUUAAUUGAACAUUGGAUAACUAGUGAUCAUAGAUUAUUAUCUGUGCUUGGCACUAUAAGAGGGUAUAUGCUUCUUUUUCUGGCCCCUCCUUCAAGGGAGGAGGGACAAUGUGAUCUGUAACGUUAGAAGCUAUUCCAUGUCAUCUUUGGGCUCAGUUCAAAACUAAAAGAUAAUGGGGGGGGGGGGGGGGGGCAUAUCAUUUUAUAUUUCUUCUAGAAGGUUUGUUCUGGAAAUAUUUCACAGGAGCAUAUCUUUUUCUUCUAUUACGUCAUCCGCAGCCUCCAAUAGGUCGGUUAACAAGCCACCGAGUUGAAAAGUUGGAAAAAUGGGAACACAGCCCGCCUCUUGUAUUCAGUAGUUAAAUAAAAGGUCACUAGAAGUGAGAUCCCUUUUGGCGUCUUGAUUUUCAAUCCAGCACCUCUGUGACCUGACAAACCAAAAAAACUAAAAAAUAAAAAACAGUACGUGGGUUGGUGUUAAGCAUCAAGACAUGUUAAUGAAAGAAGGUAGAGAAUAGGAUAUUGAAAUCCCAAUCCUGAUAACAUGAUUUUCUUUGCUAACAACCAUAUUAUAUUUUAUCAAGAAAGAGUAAUGCAUGUGGCGUCCAUCAAGACCCAUUAGAGUUCCGCUAAAGCUAUAGUUCUGUCAACGUUAUCAUUUACGUUUCCUCUAGAUAAUGGCAUUUUCCUCUAAAGCUCUUGCACCAUUAGGCUUCAAGUCAAAAUUUCACAUGUGAACUUUGGAAAUUUUCUCCAUUUGCCCCUAAGGAUACAGUUAGAAUUGACUUAAAAUCCUGAUUGAUAUGUACUAUUAACCAAAGAAUAUUGUAUAUAAUAAUUGAAAUAUUGUUGAUUCAUCGUGGAAAUACAUUUUGUAAGGAAAGUUGUUGAGAAUUUAGUAUGCUAUAUGGAGAAAAAAGUCAUGACUUAAGGUUGUGUAUGUAUAUUCUAUAUCAAAUAUUAGGUAGGAAUGUGGGAAAGAGCAGAGUGUAAUGAUAAGAAACAAAGAAAUAUAAGAUAUUCUUGAAAGUGGAAAAUAUAAAAUGGCUAACGAGUCAAAUUUAUGAUGCGUAAGGGGGAUCAUGUCACAUAAGAAAACCAUGGCAUACUAAAGACGUACGUGUGGUAUGGAGUAAUAAUUUUGUUAAAAUAAGUUUCUUGUUGGAGUACAUUAGGUGACUAUUCAUAACGUAUCAAAUUAAAGAGUCAAGUGCAUCAAUGAAGGCAUAUGUAGAAAAUUUGUUUGUGACAUGUACCAUAAAGAUAAGAUUGACUUGAUAGAAUUUAGUCUAAGUAGGAGUUGUUAAAGGUGUCUUAAAUUUCUAAUUGAUGUAUAUUUUUUUCUAAAAAAAUAUUAUAUAGAUAUUUUAAUAAAUGAUUAAUUCUUUGUAAAAAUACUUACAUAAUAAAAAACAUCAUUAAAAAUAUCUUUAUAAAUAUUUUAAGUUACAAGAAGGAAAAAAACCACUGUGAGAUAAUGAUGAACAUGCAACACUGUACCAAGUAAAUAAAAAUGUGAUAAAAAAAAAAGAGAAACACUCGAUAAAGGAAGGCUCGUAUAUAAAGAGUAAUAUUUUUAAUCAUAUGAUAGAAUGAUUUUCUCUCAUUCAUGAAUAUAGGCAAGAUUGGGGAACCAUUAUAAAAUUUUGUACACCUCGUGUAAAUUGAUGUUUGUCUUCAUAUUUUACACCAACAAAUGACAUUGAAGUUGUCAUUGAUAAAAGGGAAAAGGCAUGCCUCCACACCAUGUGCUUGAUUCGAAUGGUUCAAGUUUGAAGAAUUUUCUCCGGAAGAUCUAAAACAUUUUCGCCUUUAAAUUUCAUUUGAUUAUUAAUAUCCGAAAAAAUAGUUAAAUACUCUUUCUAUUUUUGAGUUGUUGAAUUUUUUGAAAGUUUUUAUAUUUGUUAUCAAGAAUUUCUAUUUUAUUAAGGGUGAAUAUUUAUAAAUAAGAUAUUAUAUAAUAUUUGGAUAAGAGAGAAUGGUGGAAUAUAAUAAAGUUUUAAUCCUUCCCAAUUUUGAACCUUUUUUUUUUUUUUUGAUAUAAUCGCCUUUCUCUUGCAAUCCUAUUAUCAGGUACCUUAUAUUUGCUGAUGCUAUCUGGAACUAAAUUCCAAUCAGGCAUUGUCCAAUUACUAAUAGGACAGAUCAUAUCUCUCUGUUUCUAAACUAACAUGUAUCGUAAUGUGACCUCAUAAGGAAGGCUAGGAAGAUGGAGGAUUUUGUGGGAAGCGACCAGAAUCAGAUGGAAGAGAGAUAGCCCUGUUGACCUAAUGGCUGUAAUAGGAGAAGCGUGUGGUUUUAUGGGACUUAACUGAUACUAAACCUGUAUGAUGCUUGGAGUGGUGUUUCUUUCAUUUUGUUAAGAAAAUAUGGCAGCAUACAUGCUUUCAACUGAGUGCAUCAGAGCAUCCAUAACAGAUGGUCUGCAACCCUAGGUGCAUGCCACUUUCUGACUGAUAAUGAAAUUGUCAGGUACCUGGCCUUGACUAAGCUCAACAGCAUCACAUAAAGAGAAGCUUUCAUACUUAGAUUACUGUUUAAAGUUUUUGCUUAUUUGAUUUCUUAAUGCCAUUAUGACAUUAUUGAUUCAAUUCUGCUUCCGAUUUUCGAAGUUCUGGGCAUCUACUGAUUGCAUCAUUAUAUGAGAAGUUGCAUGAGUUUAUGUAUCCUGUUAUUGUUCCUUUGCGAUUUCACUGCUCACGGGACUAACCUCUCCAUUCAGUCGAAAUGAAUUGUAAUUUCUUUACUGGUAGCAGUAGUACUUUUCAUAGCAAAGAUAAUAGAAAAUAUGAAAUAUAAAUAGAAGGAAAUCUGGAUUGUAGAUAGCACCAUAAGUAACACUCAAUAUUCACUACAUAAUAAAUAGACAGUGUUACAUAGGUAGAGAAACCUACAAUGAGUACUCAUCACCAUUCUCAAACAGAAACAUAGCAGCGACUUAUACAUAGAACCUAUAGGCUCGCAGGGAAAGAGUAACAUGAUAAGUUCACAGCGGGUAGCAGCUCUUAUUUUACGUAUUACUCAAAAUCUCAAACUAACCAAAGUCACUCAGUUGGGAUGGGUAGGAGAUGGUGGUUUGUGGGGUGGCUUCUGGGUAGGAGCUGGUGGCUUCUUUGUUGGAGUUGAAGGAGGCAUAUUCUUCUGAGGUGGCUUGUAUGACUCUUCGGCACUCUCUGCAGGAGGGUGCCCAGGGUUGUGACCAGAAGGAGGUGGCUUCUGUCCCUUUGGUGGUUUGCCUAAUGGGCUUGGUGGCUUGUGCUCCGGGAGUUGUUUCUCUCCCUCGAGUAGGUUUCGAGUUUUGUCAGAUGGCUUGUGUUCUGGUGGUGGCUUCUCUCCCUGGGGUGGUUUGCCGAAUGGGCUUGGUGGCUUGUGUUCGGGGAGUGGCUUCUCUCCCUGGAGAAGGUUACGAGUUUUGUCAGAUGGCUUUUGUUCUGGUGGCGGCUUCUCUCCCUGGGGUGGUUUGCCAAAUGGGCUUGGUGGCUUGUGUUCGGGAACUGGCUUCUCUCCCUUGGGAGGUUCAUUUGGUGGCUGGUGUUCCGUAGGUGGUUCCUUCACCGGCGGCUUGUGCUCCGGAAGCGGCUUCUCUACCUGGAGAAGCUUACGAGUUUUGUCAGAUGGCUUGUGUUGUGGUGGUGGCUUCUCUCCCGGGGGUGGUUUGCCAAAUGGACUUGGUGGCUUGUGUUCGGGGAGUGGCUUCUCUCCAUGGGGAGGUUUAGUUGGUGGUUGGUGUUGCGUAGGUGGUUUCUGAAGUGGGGGAUGCUUGGGGUAGUCAGCAAUAGACGAGGUAGUGAGAACCACCAGUCCCAACAGCAACACUAGCAAGGAUGUUGAAGACAUCUUUGAGUUCAGGCUGAGAUCUGUGCAAGGAUAAAAGAUUUAGGUGGCCUUUUAUAGAGGGCUGGACCCAACACCCAUAUGACACGUGUCAUGCACUCAUGGUGACACAUAAUUCUAUGGGACCAUUUGGGUCCUACAGAAGUUGCAAAGUUGGACUAUUGAGGUGUGAUCACAACUUUUGUCCUACUUGCUUUCUCUGCGGCCAUUGCACGAUUUCCUUUAGCAUCAUUUUCUUGUCUAAAUAAGCGUAUUAUAUUUGUGGCAGACCGUCCACGUGUCAUAAACAGAUAUAUUAUAAUAAUGUAGUAUGCUUUUCUUCAACGGAACUUGACACUCUUCUAAGUCUUGUUUUAAAUACUGUGCAGGAUUACGUCAUAAGUUGCUUGUUCCAAGUCAAAAUUGGUGGGCAAACGUUGGCCUUUUUUCAUUUUCCCUAAUAUUAAUGCUCACCUGGGAUAGGCACUACAUGAUUUAUCUGCUCUUUUACUGUGAAGUUGCUUUGUGCAUGAGUUACACCUCCCCUGCACACCCUCAACAUUUGUUGCUCUGUUUUUCUUGUGUCCAGACGAGGAUAUUAAUUGGAGGCUGACAAAACGACUGCUAGCCAAGGAUUUACAAGGUCCUGGUUUGAGGCUUUCACGAAAGUAUUUUUGAAAAGAUACACAUAGAGAUUGCGCGUUCGGUGCAAUGCAACAAUGUGAGCCAUUCUGAAGUCUUAAAUUUCAGAUUAAUGAAUGCUACAAAAUUCUAAGAAGGGCCGUUUCCAAAUAUUUGAGUUCAUUCAUCCGAACAUCGGGUAUAUGCUUCUUUCUCUAGCCCCUCCUUGAAGGGAGGAGGGACAAUGUGAUCUGUAUCGUUAGAAGCUAUUCCAUGUCGUCAUCUUUGGGCUCAGUUCAAUACUAAAAGAUAUGGGCGGGGCCCUUAUCAUUUUAUAUUUCUUCUAGAAGGUUUAUUCUGGAAAUCUUUCACAGAAACAUAUCUUUUUCUUCUCUACGUGAUCCGUGGUUUGAAAGUUGGAAAAAUGGGUCCGUUAACAAGCCACCGAGUUGAAAAGUUGGAAAAAUGGCAACACCGCCAACCUCUUGUAUUCGAUAGUUAAAUAAAAGGUCACUGGAAGUGAGAUCCCUUUUGGCCUCUUGAUUUUCAUUCCAGCAUCUCUAUGGCCUGAUAAAUUAAAAAACUAAAAAAAAAGACAGUACGUGGGUUGGUGUUAAGCAUCAAGAGUCAAGACAUGAUAAUGGAGAGAAAGGAUAUUCAAAUUCCAGUUCUGACAACAUGAUUUUCUUUGCUGAACUACCAUAUUAUAUUUGAUCAAGAAAGAGUAGUGCAUGUGGCCAGGAUCAAGACAUACAUUAAUUUCCACAUGAUGAAGACAGUUUCUGAGAGUUUCUUCUAAAGCUCUUGCGCGAGUAGGCUUCAAGUCAAAAUCUCCCAUGUAAACACUGGUUUUUCUUUCAUUGCCACUAAGGAUGCAGUUAAUAUUGACUUAAGAUCCUACGUGAUAUAUUUUUUUAAAAGAGCUAUAUUGUAGAUAAUAUUUGAAAUAAUGUUGAUUCGUUGUGGAAAUAUAUUUGUAAGGAAAGUUGUUGACAAUUUAAUAUAGUAUAAGAAGAAAAAAGUUAUCAACUAGCUAGAGAUGAGUAUGUAAAGUGAGGCUCACGAUUCAACGCGUAAAUAUAAGAUAUUUUAAGGCUCAAUAGUUAUGAUAUCUAUUUUAUUUUUUGUAUCUCAUAUAUUCAAAGAUAUAGUAAAAUGAUUUUACAUAUAUAUAUAUAUAUAUAUAUGAACAUAACUAUUUGUGCCAAUUGAUUUUUAUCUUUAUUUUGUAUAUUAGUAAUUAUAUUAAAGUUUUUACUAAUAUAAUAACUAAUAUAAAAGCUUUUUCUAAAAGAGUCAACAGAGCAAAACACUUAUUAUAAAAAAUAAUUUUGAUUGAAGGUGGAGUCAAUUAUUCUUUAUUUAACAUGUAAUGCAUACGGCGUGUACUUCAUAACUAAAGUAUAUAAGUGUAACAUCUCUUAUAUAUUCUCAUUCAAUCUCGAAAGUGGAAAUUUUAAAAAGAUUAAACGGUUCAAAUUUGUCGUGCAUAAAGGGGAUCAUGUCACAUAAGCAAACCAUGGCAUACCAAAGACAUAGGUAUGGACUAAGAAUUUUUUUCAAAUAAGUUUCUUAUUAGGGUACAUUAAUAGGUGACUUUUUAUGACAUAUCAAAGGAGUCAAGUGCACCAAUAAAAACAUAUAUAGAAAAUUCAUGCAUGACAUGUAUCACUAAGAGAAGAUUGACUUGAUAGAGUUUAAUCCAAAUAGGAGAUUGUUAAAAGGUGUCUCAAAUUCUUGAUUGAUAUAUAUUUUUUUUAUUAAAAAGGUUAUUAUAUAGAUAUUUCAAUAGACUAUUAAUUCUUUGUAAAAAUAGUUAUAUAAUGAGGAUGGUGAUUAAAAAUAUCUCUAUCAAUAUUUUGGAUUAUAAAAAGAAAAAAAAUGAGAUAAUGAUAAACAUAUAAAACUUGUACAAGUAGAUAAAGAUGUGAUGAAAGACACUUGAUGAAUGAAGGCUUUGUAUUUCAAGAUAUAAAUAUAUGGAGCAAAACUCUUAAUUAUAUGAUCAAAUGAUUCUCUCAUAUUCAUGAAUAUAAGCAGGAUUGGGGAACCAUGAUAGAAUCUUAUAUGCCUCUCCAUGUAGAGUGAUCGAUGUUUAUCUUCAUAUUUUACACCAGUGAAUGACAUUGAAACUCUUAUUGAUAAAAGGGAAAAGGCAUGGCCUCCACCCCAAGAAAAACAAGUAACCUCGGUUUAAAUCACUAGUCUACACCCCGAAGAGAGAACUAGCCAAACCUACUAAAAGAGAAACUUAACAAUUUAGAAAGAAACCGUCCAUGAUAAAGGGCCCCUAAAGGUCCAAUUCAGUGAGGUCGUGAACAAAAACACUUUCAUGUCAAAACAGAGAUAGGUACCACCAAAAUGUAAAGGGAAAGAUGUAAACCACGUCGAACUUUGGUAAUCAAUGGUAAAGAUAGCAUGAUAGCUAAAAGCACUAAAGCUGUGCUUGGUAUGCAAAAAUGAAAAGUGGAAAUCAGCGUCUUAUUCUUUUUCACCUUUAUUCACAUAUUAGGAUAACUAAUAUCUAAUGUUUUUUAUGUCUCAAAUUCUAUUCCAUGUUAUGGUAAACUUUCAUCUUGUUUAGAUCACUUUUGUCUGGUUUGGGCUCAAGACGAUAAGCCUAUAGAGACUUCAUAUUGGGUUGAAUCGAUGCCCUUGAUCUGAUCUGUUCGUUAGAAAAAUCUGAAUUAUUAUAAGCAUUUAGAUAAAAAAUAAAUAAAUGUGAAACACAAACUACUCCCUGCACAACCUUGACCCUAGUUACUCAGUUUCACUGCUCACAGGACUAACCUCUCCAUUCAGUCGAAAUGAAUUGUAACAAGAAGAUUUUUGACAGGAGGACGGUAGUUUAAAAUAAUAAUUUCUAAAGUACUUUUGUGAAAAAAAAUAAUUCCAAACGUGGAUUUUAUCAAGUAAAAAGAAAAAAAAAAGUUAUUUUCUUUUAAAAUCUGUUCUUCUAAAGAUGAUAUAUAUACCAAAAAAAAAAAUUGUUUUCUGAAGGUAAAAUUUUUAAAAUUCAUUUUUAAAAAAAUUUACACACUAAAAUUAUCUUUUCAAGAGAAGAUUUUUUUAAUUUUAAAUAAUUAUUAAUUUAUAAUUAAUUUGUUAUUAAUUAUUUAUUAAUUUUUUUAUUUGAAAAAUGCAUUUAUAAAAAACAAAUUUGUUAUUAAUUUAUUAAAUAAUUUUUACAAAAUAAAUAAUUUUUUUUUAUUUUAAUUUUAAAAUUAAUUUUAUUAUAUAAAUUUUAAAAUUAAAAAUAUUAAUAUUUAAUUUAAAAUUUAACUAUAAAAGGAAUAAAAUAUAGAAAAAUAAAUUAAUUUAUUAUUCAAUAAAUUAAUUUUCAAUAAAAUUUUCAGCAUUAAGAGAUAAAUUUUUAAGUAUUAAUCAAUUUAAAAAGAAAUAAUGAUCAUUUGUAUAUUAAGAUAUUUUAUUUAGUAAUUAUGAAUGAUAAACAACUAAAGUAAUUUGAAAAAAUAAUAAAAUAUUUAAAAAAUAAUAAUUUAAUACACGUAAAAUUAGAAAUGAUUAACUAUUUUUUAUUAAGAAAAAAUUGAGGAAAUAUUUUGUUAUUUAAAAUUUUUUAUUUGUUUUCAAUUUUUAAUGUUAUAGGUUUCAAGAAAAUUGAUCAAAUAAAAAUUAAGAAGUCAUUUUUUCAAAAACUAUAUAUCUAAAUAAAAGCCUUGAAAUUCAAAUACACAAUAUCAUAAAUAUAAACACCAAGUCAAUCCUUAAUUAUCAAAUGUUUUUAAUAUUAAAGAAUCAAAAUCACCUACUAUCAUGAUAAUAAGAAAACCAAUAAUAUUGUUCAUAUAAAUACUAAAAAGCUAACAAAUAUCCCAAACAAUUAAUAAAGUAUCAAACAUGAUAAAAAGUCAAUUAUUAUCAUGAAUGCAAAAAAUCAAUAAUUUUGUUUAUAUGAACCAUCAACAAAGAAAAAAAAAAUCAAUAUCUAAAUAUUAAACAUAAUUUAUAUUUUUAUAAAUAUUAUUGUUGAUAAAUAUCUUAACAAUUAUAAUUUUAGUAAAUAAAAUUAAUUAAUUUUAGUUUAAGAAUUAUUUUUUUAUACUUUCGUAUUCUUAUCAAAAAUCCCCAUUUUGCAUGUCUCCUUUGGCAUGACUUUCUUACCUAAACAAGCAUAUAUAUAUAUAUAUAUAUAUAAAAUAUUUGGUUAAGAAAGAGUACUAAAGUUUAUAUGGCACACAUCAAGAUAGAAACAGAAGUGGAAGAUAAUCCAAAUGUAUGAACAGAUAUAUUAUAUCCAUGUAGUGGUAGUGACUUCAUUAUUUACUUUUAUCUAAUGGAGCAUGACACACUUCUUCUGAAUAUUUUGCACGAUUAUGUUAUGUGUCAGCUUGUUCUAAGUCAAAACUAGUGAUAAAAAUCGGUUUUUUUUGCAUUUCCUUCAUGAAGAUGGCACCUGGAUGGGGCACUACAUGAGUGGCAUAGCACGAAGUGAUUUAUCUGCUCCCUUUACUAUAAAGUGCUUUGUGUAUAAGUUACACCUCCCCUGCACUGCCUCAACAUUUGUUGUUCUGUCUUCCGUCUGUCCAAACGAGGACAAACGUAUGUUGUAGGUUGACAAAACCACAGCUAGCCUAGGAUUUGCAAGGAUCUAGUUUGAUUCGUAUGCAAAAGGAUUGGUGAAAAGAUUCACAAAGAUAAUGCUUUUUGCAAUGCAAUCUUGUUCUAAUUCAACAGUGUGGACCAUUUUCAUGUAAUGCUUCAACUAGAUGUCAGUUUCAUGAAUUUUUGUUCAUCUAAUUGAUCACUGGAUAGGCCAUAACCCGAAGAAAUUCAAAAUUCCCUUCAGUACUGUAGCUAAGGAAAGAUCCCUAUCUACCACUGGGAUUUUAAGAGGGUAAAAAUGUAGGUGGGUGCCUAUAUCAUUUGCACUUCACUAUAGGCCUCUUUGGGAAGAUUUCUUCUGAAGACAUUUCAAAGAAACAUAUUUUUCUCUUCUCUCCGUAAACGGCAGCUGCAAGUCAGUCCAUUCACAGGCCACCGAGUUGAAAAGGCUGGAAAAUUGGCCAAAGCACCCGCCUCCUGGAUUCCAUGGGUAAGGAAAAGGUCACUGGAGGUGUGAUCCCUGUUGGCCUCUUGAUUUCCAUUCCGCCAUCUAUAUGACCUGAUAACCCAAAAACACAGAAGGAAAACGUCACCUGGGUUCAUAGUAAGCAUCAAGUCAUGAUAGAGACCAGACAACAUGACCAACAAAGAGUAGCGAAUGGGGCCAACAUCAAGCCCCAUUACGGUUAGAAGAUGGAAGAAGUAGAAGACAAUCCAAUUCUGAUAGAUUCGGGCAAAUGUAGUGCUGUUCAAACUUAAUCAUUUACUAUUUCUUCAUGAAUCACGGCAUUUUUCUUCUGAAAAUUUUCCAAGAUUAGGCCUCUGAAGAAAAAUUUCAUAUGUAAAUUGGUAUAUUAAGGAAAAGGCGUUACAAAGGUGAAAAAAAACCAAUCAAAUCUUAUAUAUGACAUCUCAAAAAUAUGAACUUGCUAUAAAUAUUUAAAAUCAAAAUCUUGCACAUCACCUCGUAGUACGAACUUGCUAUAAAACUUGAAAAUCAAGAAGAAAGGGGCAGUAUUGGACGAGACUACUUAGCACAUAUUAUUAUGAUGUUUUUUCAUUUUCUUAAUGUUGUUUUUAUGUCUUAAAUUCUAUUAUUCUAUGUUACGGUAAACAUUCAUCUUGUUUGUGUGGAAUAGGAUCACUUUUCUCUGGGUUGAGUCGAUGCCCUUAGUUAAUUUGUUCAUUUGAAUAAACUAAAUUAUUAUAAGUAUUUAGAUAAGAAAAACGUGAUACAUAAAUUACGCCUCUCGGCACAACUUCAACACUGGUUACUCUGUUUCAGUUUCCUCACACAAGAUUAUUGGUUCUAGGGUUUAUUUGGUUUUGGUUUGAUUCUAAUUGCUAAACUUUCUCAAGGAAGAUGUUAUAUAGGGAGUGAGAAACCUUCACUCUUGGCUACCUCCAAGAGAAGAGCAAGUGGUCUGAAUCAAAGAUAUACUGCUCACUUUUUCUUCUUCUAAGGACAGCUAUGACCUUGCUUUAAGGUUCGAAUAGCCUAAUGCAACCUCCCAUUUCUCAAGUCAGCUGAUGAUGUAAGUCACCUUGGCUUUCCACAUUCAUACGGUGAGGACGUUUGUGGGUGUAAUUCUCUUAACAGUUUUCAUUUUAUAUGGAAAAAUUCAUAAUUAAGGGUAAUUACUGAUUCCAUUUGACAGUGACCAAGUUUAAAAUAUUAAUUCAUAUAUUAAAUGCACAUUAAAAAAUCAUGGAAUAAAUAUAUUUACUAAUAUAUAGUUCUUUUGCCAUGUUCUGUCACAGAAGCAUCGAACUUUCCCUAGAAAUUUUUGCAUGGUAUUCUACUUAUGAUUUUGAAAACUCUAGGCACCUGAGGCCACUAAUUGCAUGGUUGGAUGAGGAGCUGCAUGAGAUUAUGUAUCGUGUUGUUCCUUAACUACAAAUAUCAGUUUUAAGUAGCAUCUCCAUGUGACAUUUUCCUGAUGCAAUUUCGCUGUCCACCAACAAAUUUCACCAUGCAGCAAGAUGAAUUGUAAUUUCUUUAUUGUUAUCAACAGCUUUAAUUAAUCUUGAUAUAUAUAUAUAACUUAGUAGAAGUAUAUUAAUCUAGAUUGUAGUUGCACUAAGAUAAUAGGCAAUAUUAUAACAGUGCCACAAUGCUCAUCGCCAAAUAGAAAGGUAGAAAAACUACAAUGAGUAACUCACAACAUUCUCAAACAGGACAUAGCGGCGACUGAUACAUAGAACACUAUUGGCACUCAGGAAAUGAUAAGAUCAGUGCCCAGCAGGCAGCACGUCUUAUUUUACAUACUACUUAAAACUAACCAAAGUCAUUCAGUUGGGAUGGGUGGGAGAUGGUGGUUUGUGCGGUGGCUUUUGGGUAGUUGGUGGCUUCUUUCCUGGAACUGAUGGUUUUUUUGUUGGAGUUGAAGGAGGCUUAAUCGUCUGAGGUGGCUUGUAUGAGUCUUCAGCACUCUCUGCGGGAGGGUGCCCAGGGUUGUGACCAUAAUGGGGUGGCUUCUCUCCCUUAGUUGGUUUGCCAAGUGGGCUGGCUGGCUUGUGCUCCGGGAGCGGCUUCUCUCCCUUAGGUGGUUUGCCAAAUGGGCUUGCUGGCUUGUGCUCUGGGAGCGGCUUCUCUCCCUCAAGAAGUUUACGGGUUUUGUCAGAUGGCUUGUGUUCUGGUGGUGGCUUCUCUCCUUGGGGUGGUUUGCCAAAUGGACUUGGUGGCUUGUGUUCGGGGAGUGGCUCCUCUCCCUUGGGAGGUUUAGUUGGUGGCUGGUGUUCCAUAGGUGGUUUCUCAACCGGGGGCUUGUUCUCCGUUGGUGGUUUAUGAACUGGGGGAUGCUUGGGGUAGUCAGCAAGAGACGGGGUGGUGAGAACCACCAGUCCCAGCAGCAACACUAGCAAGUAUGUGGAAGAGUACAUCUUUGAGUUCAGGCUGAGAUUUGUGCGAGACUUGAAGAAUUAGGUGGCCUUUUAUAGCUGGCUGCACCCAACACUCACAUGACACGUAUCAUGGUGACACAUGUGCUAUGGGUCCAUUUGGGUCCUACAGAAGCUGAAAACUUUUGACUAUUGAGGUGUGGUCACAACUUUUGUCCCUAUUGCUUUCUCCGCAACCGUUUUACAUGUUUCCUUUGGCAUAAUUUUCUAAGCUAAACAAGCAUAUAUCAUAUUUGGUUAAGAAAGAGUAAAGUGUAUAUGGCACACAUCAAGGAAGAGAAACAGAAAAAGUGGGAGACAAUCAAUUGUGAUAAACAGAUAUAUUAUAUUCAUGUAGUACUAGUGACUUUAUCAUUUACUUUUAUCCAAUAGAUCAUCACUCUUUCUUCUAAAUAUUUUGGAGGAUAAUGGUACAUGUUGCUUGUUUCCAAGUCAAAAUUGGUGGCAAAAAUCGGCAUGAUACGAAAGGAUUGGUGAAAAGAUUCACAUAGAUGGUGCUUUGUGCAAUGCAGUCUUGCUCUAAUUCAACAGAGUGGACCAUGGUGAUGUAUUUUAAAUUUUAAAUUUUAAAUUAAUGCAUGCUUCAAAGUUUUAACUAGAUGUCACUUCCAUGGAUUUUUGUUCAUUUAAUUGAGCACAGGAUAGGCUAUCAAACUUGAAGUAAUAUAAAAAUCCCUUCAUUACUGUAACUAAUGAAAGAUCAUUAUCUGCGCUUGGUAUUUUGCCAAGGUAUUUGCUGCUCUUUCUAGCCCUGUCUUACAGUUAAGGACAAUGUGAUCUAGUUAACCUUAGAAGCUAUUCCAUGUCAGAUACAAGAGAUCAAGCACAUUAUCUUUGGGCUCAGUUCAAAACUAUAAUAUAUGGGUGGGGUGGAGGCCCAUAUCAUUUGCAUAUCACCACUAUUGGUUUAGUUUGGAAGGUUUCUUCUGGAAGAUUGCUGCUUUCUGGAAUCAUUUCAAAGAAAUAUAUCUUUUUGUUCUCUUGGUGACGAGCAGCGGCAAUCAAGUCUGUUGACAAACAACCGAGUUGAAAAGUUUGAAAAUUGGUCACAGCCCACGUCCAUGGUUAAGGAAAAGGUCACUGGAAGUGAUCCCUUCUGGGCCUCUUGAUUUCCAUUCUGACAUCUAUAUGACCUGAUAAAUAGAAAGAAAAAAAAACAGAAGAAAAGCGGCACCCGGGUUCAUAGUAAGCAUCAAGACAGGAUACUGAAAGAAGGGAGAAAGGAGAUUGCAAGUCCAAUCCUGAUAAAAUGAUCAACAAAGAGUAUCAAAAUGGGGCCAACAUAAAGACCCAUUGAGGUUAGCAGAUGGCAUGGCAUUUUUCUCCUUAAGUUUUCCAUGAUUAGACUUGAAGUCAAAAUUUCACAUGUAAAUUUGUAUUUCUACAUUUCCCACUGACGACACCCAACUUCAACUUGAGUUAGAAUAACAUUGUGUGAACUUAUCUGGCCCUCAAAAUUUACUGUGAAGUGCUUUCUGCGUGUGAAGAUUCAGAAAAGCACCAAGGGAACAUGUAUGGUCUGCCUUUUUCUGAUGUUAUGUUUGUCUCUAAUUCUGUUCCAUGUCAUGGUAAAUGUUCACAUUGCUUGUAUGGAACACACCAGGAUCACUUUUUCGGGUUUAUUUUGAGGCUUCAUAUUGGGUUCAUAUUGGGUUCAAUGCUUUUAAUGUGUUCAUUAGACAAAUCUGAAUUAUCAUAUGCAUUUAGAUAAGAACAAUAAUGUGAAACCCUAGUUACACCUCCCCUGCAUAACCCCAACCCUGCUUACUCUAUUUCAGUUUACUCACACAAGUUUUACCGGUUCUUAUAAGUCAAGAAAAGGCAACUGAUGUUGGAUUGACUCUCUUCCAUGUAUAAAAAGCAACUUUUAUAUAUACAUAAAAUAACUUCUUCCCCUCACCAAUGUGGGAUAUCAUGGAUUUAUUCUGGAAACACAUCAAAGGAACAUCUUUUCUCUUGGGUGACCCUAAGUGGUGAGUCAGACCAUUUGCAUGCCAUUGAGUUGCACAGUUGGAUAAAUGCACCUACCUCCUGGGCUCCAGAGUUAAAAGGGUGGAUCCCUGGAUCGCAACCCUCUUGGCAUCUUGGUUUCCAUUCCAACAUCCACAUGACUUGACAAAACAAAAAACAGAAUAAAAUCAUCACUAUUUUCAUGCUAAGCACCAAUACAUGAUGGAAAUCAUUGCUUAAAGAUUUGGGGUCAUUUAGGUUUUGACUGCCUCCUAACACCUCACCUAAUCACAAGUUUUUAUGCUUACAAAUCAAAUAUCGUUCUUCAUUAUAUUAAAAUCAUUUUAAGAUUUCAGAUCCAUCUGCUAAUUAUGAUUAUGAUAACAUUAAUUCACCUGUGCUUCUCAUUUUCGACACACAAGGCAUCUAGGUUUGCAGGAUUUCCUUAUUAGAUGAGAUAAAUGAGUACGCAUGGUUAUGUAUGCAGCAUUCAUUAACCAUGGUAUGUGACAUUUAGAAUUAAGAUAGCAAGCAAACUUUCCCUGCAGCUUGAGUAAAUUGUGAUUUCUUAGCCUCUAUGAGUGGUUCCCAAAUCAAAUUAACAUAGUGAAAUAUACGUAGUCCAGUGAAAGGAAAUGUAAAUUAUAAACUAACAGCACUACACUACUGGUAACACUCGAUACUCUCUAUAUAAUGCAAUGAAAUAUACGUUAUACGUUGCUUGUUCCAAGUCAAAAUUUGUGGCCAAACGUUGGCCUUUUUUCAUUUUCCCUAAGAUUAAUGCUCACCUGGGAUAGGCACUACAUGAUUUAUCUGCUCUUUUACUGUAAAGUUGCUUUGUGUAUGAGUUACACCUCCCCUGCACACCCUCAACAUUUGUUGCUCUGUUUUCCUUGUGUCCAGACGAGGAUAUUAAGUGGGGGCUGACAAAACGACUGCUAGCCAAGGAUUUACAAGGUCCUGGUUUGACGCUUCCGCGAAAGUAUUUUUGAAAAUAUACACAUAGAGAUUGCGCGUUCGGUGCAAUGCAACAAUGUGAGCCAUUCUGAAGUUUUUAAUUUCAGAUUAAUGAAUGCUACAAAAUUCUAAGAAGGGCCGUUUCCAAAUAUUUGAGUUCAUUUAUCCGAACAUCGGAUAAGUAAUGAUCAUAGAUUAUUAUUAUUAUCUGACGUUCUUAUAAUGGUUGGCAUUAUAAGAGGGUAUAUGCUUCUUUCUCUAGCCCCUCCUUCAAGGGAGGGACAAUGUGAUCUGUAUCGUUAGAAGCUAUUCCAUGUCGUCAUCUUUUGGCUUAAGUCAAUACUAAAAUAUAUGGGCGGGGCCCCUGUCAUUUUAUAUUUCUUCUAGAAGGUUUGUUCUGGAAAUCUUUCACCGAAACAUAUCUUUUUCUUCUCUACGUGAUCCGUGGUUGGAAAGUUAGAAAAAUGGGUCCGUUCACAAGCCACCGAGUUGAAAAGUUGGAAAAAUGGCAACACCGCCAACCUCUUGUAUUCGAUAGUUAAAUAAAAGGUCACUGGAAGUGAGAUCCCUUUUGGCCUCUUGAUUUUCAUCCCAGCAUCUCUAUGUCCUGAUAAACUAAAAAACUAAAAAAAAAACAGUACGUGGGUUGGUGUUAAGCAUCAAGAGUCAAGACAUGAUAAUGGAGAGAAAGGAUAUUCAAAUUCCAGUUCUGACAACAUGAUUUUCUUUCCUGAACAACCAUGUUAUAUUUGAUCAAGAAAGAGUAGUGCAUGUGGCCAGGAUCAAGACAUACAUUAAUUUCCACAUGAUGAAGACAGUUUCUGAGAGUUUCUUCUAAAGCUCUUGCGCUAGUAGGCUUCAAGUCAAAAUUUCCCAUGUAAACACUGGAUUUUCUUUAAUUGCCACUAAGGAUACAGUUAAAAUUGACUUAAAAUCCUACGUGAUAUAUAUCUUUAACAAAAGUAUAUUGUAUAUAAUAUUUGAAAUAAUGUUGAUUCGUUGUGGAAAUAUGUUUGUAAGGAAAGUUGUUGACAAUUUAAUAUAGUAUAAGAAGAAAAAAGUUAUCAACUAGAGAUGAGUAUGUAAAGUGAGGCUCACGAUUCAACGCGUAAAUAUAAGAUAUUUUAAGGCUCAAUAGUUAUGAUAUCUAUUUUAUUUUUUGUAUCCCAUAUAUUCAAAGAUACAGUAAAAUGAUUUUAUAUAUAUGAACAUAGCCGAUAGUAUCAUGUUAAAACCUUAUAUGACUCUUUGUGCCAAUUGAUUUUUAUCUUUAUUUUGUGUAUUAGUAAUUAGUAUUAAAGUUUUUACUAACAUAAUAAUUGAUAUAAAAGCUUUUUCCAAAAGAGUCAAACAGAGCAAAACACUUAUUAUAAAAAGAAUUUUGAUUGAAGGUGGAGUCAAUUAUUCUUUAUUCAACAUGUGAUGCAUACAGCGGGUACUUCAUAACUAAAGUAUAUAAGUGCAACAUCUCUUAUACAUUCUCAUUCAAUCUCGAAAGUGGAAAAUUUUAAAAGAUUAAAUGGUUCAAAUUUUCCGUGCAUAAAGGGGAUCAUGUCACAUAACCAAACCAUGGCAUACCAAAGCCAUGAUAUGGACUAAGAAUUUUGUUAAAAUAAGUUUCUUAUUAGGGCACAUUAUGUGACUAUUUAUGACAUAUCAAAGGAGUCAAGUGCAUCAAUAAAGACAUAGAAAAUUCAUGCAUCACAUGUACCACUAAGAGAAAAUUGACUUGAUAGAGUUUAGUCCAAAUAGGAGAUUGUUAAAAGGUGCAUCAAAUUCUUGAUUGAUAUAUAUUUUUUUUAUUAGAAAGGUUAUUAUAUAGAUAUUUCAAUAGACUAUUAAUCCUUUGUAAAAAUAGUUAUAUAAUGAGGAUGGUGAUUAAAAAUAUCUCUAUCAAUAUUUUGGAUUAUAAAAAGAAAAAAAAUAUGAGAAAAUGAUAAACAUAUAAAACUUGUACAAGUAGAUAGAGAUGUGAUGAAAGACACUUGAUGAAUGGAGGCCUUGUAUUUCAAGAUGUAAAUAUAUGGAGCAAAACUCUUAAUUAUAUGAUCAAAUGAUUCUCUCAUAUUCAUGAACAUAAGCAGGAUUGGGGAACCAUGAUAGAAUCUUAUAUGCCUCUCCAUGUAGAUUGAUCGAUGUUUAUCUUCAUAUUUUACACCAAUGAAUGACAUUGAAACUCUGAUUGAUAAAAGGGAAAAAGCAUGGCCUCCACCACAAGAAAAACAAGUAACCUCGGUCUAAAUCACUAGUCUACACCCCGAAGAGAGAACUAGCCAAACCUACUAAAAGAGAAACUUACCAAUUUAGAAAGAAAUCUUCCAUGAUAAAGGGCCCCUAAAAGUCCAAUUCAGUCAGGUUGUGAACAAAAACACCUUCAUGUCAAAACAGGAAUAGGUACCACCAAAAUGUAAAGGGAAAGAUGUAAACCAAGUCGAACUUUGGUAAACAAUGGUAAAGAUAGCAUGAUAGCUAAAAGCACUAAAGCUGUGCUUGGUAUGCAAAAAUGAAAAGUGGAAAUCAGCGUCUUAUUCUUUUUCUCCUUUAUUCACAUAUUAGGAUAACUAAUAUCUAAUGUUUUUUUUAUGUCUCAAAUUCUAUUCCAUGUUAUGGUAAACUUUCAUCUUGUUUAAGUGGAAGAGUAGGAUCACUUUUGUCUGGUUUGGGCUCAAGACGAUAAGCCUAUAGAGACUUCAUAUUGGGUUGAAUUGAUGCCCUUGAUCCGAUCAGUUCGUUAGAAAAAUCUGAAUUAUUAUAAGCAUUUAGAUAAAAUAAAUAAAUAAAUGUGAAACAGAGACUAUUCUCUGCACAACCUUGACCCUAGUUACUCAGUUUCACUGCUCACGGGACUAACCUCUCCAUUCAGUCGAAAUGAAUUGUAAUUUCUUUACUGGUAGCAGUAGUACUUUUCAUAGCAAAGAUAAUAGUAAAUAUGAAAUAUAAAUAUAUAGAAGGAAAUCUGGAUUGUAGAUAGCACCAUAAGUAACACUCAAUAUUUACUACAUAAUAAAAGAGAUAGUGUUACAAAGGUAGAGAAACCUACAAUGAGUACUCAUCACCAUUCUCAAACAGAAACAUAGCAGUGACUUAUACAUAGAACCUAUAGGCUCGCAGGGAAAGAGUAACAUGAUAAGUGCACAGCGGGUAGCAGCUCUUAUUUUACGUAUUACUCAAAAUCUCAAACUAACCAAAGUCACUCAGUUGGGAUGGGUAGGAGAUGGUGGUUUGUGGGGUGGCUUCUGGGUAGGAGCUGGUGGCUUCUUUGUUGGAGUUGAAGGAGGCGUAAUCUUCUGAGGUGGCUUGUAUGAGUCUUUGGCACUCUCUGCAGGAGGGUGCCCAGGGUUGUGACCGGAAGGAGGUGGCUUCUGUCCCUUUGGUGGUUUGCCUAAUGGGCUUGGUGGCUUGUGCUCCGGGAGUUGUUUCUCUCCCUCGAGUAGGUUUCGAGUUUUGUCAGAUGGCUUGUGUUCUGGUGGUGGCUUCUCUCCCUGGGGUGGUUUGCCGAAUGGGCUUGGUGGCUUGUGUUCGGGGAGUGGCUUCUCUCCCUUGGCAGGUUCAGUUGGUGGCUGGUGCUCCGUAGGUGGUUUCUUCACCGCCGGCUUCUCUCCCUGGAGAAGGUUACGAGUUUUGUCAGAUGGCUUCUGUUCUGGUGGCGGCUUCUCUCCCUGGGGUGGUUUGCCAAAUGGGCUUGGUGGCUUGUGUUCGGGAACUGGCUUCUCUCCCUUGGCAGGUUCAGUUAGUGGCUGGUGUUCCGUAGGUGGUUUCUUCACCGGCGGCUUGUGCUCCGGAAGCGGCUUCUCUACCUGGAGAAGCUUACGAGUUUUGUCAGAUGGCUUGUGUUGUGGUGGUGGCUUCUCUCCCUGGGGUGGUUUGCCAAAUGGACUUGGUGGCUUGUGUUCGGGGAGUGGCUUCUCUCCAUUGGGAGGUUUAGUUGGUGGUUGGUGUUCCGUAGGUGGUUUCUGAAGUGGGGGAUGCUUGGGGUAGUCAGCAAGAGACGAGGUAGUGAGAACCACCAGUCCCAGCAGCAAUACUAGCAAGGAUGUGGAAGACAUCUUUGAGUUCAGGCUGAGAUUUGUGCAAGGCUAGAAGAAUUAGGUGGCCUUUUAUAGCGGGCUGGACCCAACAACCAAAUGACACGUAUCAUGAUACACAUAUGUGUUAUAAGAUCCUUGUGGGUCCUACAGAAGUUGAAAACUUUGACAAUUGAGGUGUGAUUACAACUUUUGUCCCUAUUGCUUUCUCGUCAGCCGUUUUGCAAGAUUUUUGACAGGAGGACGGUAGUUUAAAAUAAUAAUUUCUAAAGUACUUUUGUGAAAAAAAAUAAUUCCAAACGUGGAUUUUAUCAAGUAAAAAAAACAAAAAAAAGUUAUUUUCUUUUAAAAUCUUUUCUUCAUGAUUCAUAUACCAAAAAAAGAAUUGUUUUCUGUAGGUAAAAUUUUUAAAAUUCAUUUUUAAAAAAAAAAAAUUACACACUAAAAUUAUCUCUUCAAGAAAAUAUUUUUUAAAUUUUAAAUAAUUAUUAAUUUAUAAUUAAUUUUUUAUUAAUUAUUUAUUAAAUUUAUAUGUGAAAAAUGCAUUUAUAAAAAACAAAUUUUUUAUUAAUUUAUUAAAUAAUUAUUUACAAAAUAAAUAAUUUUGCUUUAUUUUAAUUUUAAAAUUAAUUUUAUUAUAUAAAUUUUAAAAUUAAAAAUAUUAAUAUUUAAUUUAAAAUUUAACUAUAAAAGGAAUAAAAUAUAGAAAAAUAAAUUAAUUUAUUAUUCAAUAAAUUAAUUUUCAAUAAAAUUUUCAGCAUUAAGAGAUAAAUUUUUAAGUAUUAAUCAAUUUAAAAAAUAAUAAUAAUCAUUUGUAUACUAAGAUAUUUUAUUUAGUAAUUAUGAAUGAUAAACAACUAAAGUAAUUUGAAAAAAUAAUAAAAUAUUUAAAAAUAAUAAUUUAAUACACUUAAAAUUAGAAAUGAUUAACUAUUUUUUAUUAAGAAAAAAUUGAAGAAAUAUUUUGUUAUUUAAAAUUUUUUAUUUGUUUUCAAUUUUAAAUGUUAUAGGUUUCAAGAAAAUUGAUCAAAUAAAAAUUAAGAAGUCAUUUUUUCAAAAACUAUAUAUCUAAAUAAAAGCCUUGAAAUUCAAAUACACAAUAUCAUAAAUAUAAACACCAAGUCAAUCCUUAAUUAUCAAAUGUUUUUAAUAUUAAAGAAUCAAAAUCACCUACUAUCAUGAUAAUAAGAAAACCAAUAAUAUUGUUCAUAUAAAUACUAAAAAGCUAACAAAUAUCCCAAACAAUUAAUAAAGUAUCAAACAUGAUAAAAAGUCAAUUAUUAUCAUGAAUGCAAAAAAUCAAUAAUUUUGUUUAUAUGAACCAUCAACAAAGAAAAAAAAAAUCAAUAUCUAAAUAUUAAACAUAAUUUAUAUUUUUAUAAAUAUUAUUGUUGAUAAAUAUCUUAAUAAUUAUAAUUUUUUAUAUAUUAAAUUUAGUAAAUAAAAUUAAUUAAUUUUAUAAUAUAAGAUAUAUAUAAUAAUUAAGAGACUAUUUGUCCCAAACAAUUUAUUUAUUUUUUUUUUAGGAAAUUGUCUCUUCAAGAGACGACUUCUCCCAACAUUUUUAAAAAAAAAAAAAAAAACAUCUAUUCAAAAGACGAUUUCUCCUCAUUUUUUAAAAAUGAAUUUUAGAAAUCAUAUUUUCAAAAAUGAAUUUUAGAAAUCAUAUUUUCAAAAGACGAUUUUUUUUUAUAUAAAUUAUUUUUUAAAAUGACGAUUUUAAAAGGAAAUAACGAUCUCUCUCCUACUUGGCAAAAACUAUGGUAAAUUUGGAAUUAUUUCUUCCACAACCAUAGUUUAAGAAUUAUUUUUUUAUACUUUCGUAGACUUAUCAAAAAUCCCUAUUUUGCAUGUCUCAUUUGGCAUGACUUUCUUACCUAAACAAGCAUAUAUAUAUAUAUAUAUAUAUAUAUCACUUUUGUCUGGGUUGAGUCAAUGCCCUUAACUAAUUUGUUCAUUUGAAUAGUCUAAAUUAUUAUAAGCUUUUAGUUAAGAAAAAUGUGAAACAUAAAUUACACCUCUCGGCACAACUUCGACACUGGUUACUCUGUUUCAGUUUAUUCACACAAGAUUAUUGGUUCUAGGGUUUAUUUGGUUUUGGUUUGAUUCUAAUUGCUAAACUUUCUCAAGGAAGAUGUUAUAUAGGGAGUGAGAAACCUUCACUCCUGGCUACCUCCAAGAGAAGAGCAAGUGGUCUGAAUCAAAGAUAUACUGCUCACUUUUUCUUCUUCUAAGGACAGCUAUGACCUUGCUUUAAAAUGUUCGAAUAGCCUAAUGCAACCUCCCAUUUCUCAAGUCAGCUGAUGAUGUAAGUCACCUUGGCUUUCCACAUUCAUACGGUGAGGACGUUUGUGGGUGUAAUUCUCUUAACAGUUUUCAUUUUAUAUGGAAAAAUUCAUAAUUAAGGGUAAUUACUGAUUCCAUUUGACAGUGACCAAGUUUAAAAUAUUAACUCAUGUAUUAAAUGCACAUUAAAAAAUCAUGGAAUAAAUAUAUUUACUAAUAUAUAGUUCUUUUGUCAUGUUCUGUCACAGAAGCAUCGAACUUUCCCUAGAAAUUUUUGCAUGGUAUUCUGCUUAUGAUUUUGAAAACUCUAGGCACCUAAGGCCACUGAUUGCAUGGUUGGAUGAGGAGCUGCAUGAGAUUAUGUAUCCUGUUGCUCCUUAACUACAAAUAUCAGUUUUAAGUAGCAUCUCCAUGUGACAUUUUCCUGAUGCAAUUUCGCUGUCCACCAACAAAUGUCUCCAUGCAGCUAGAUGAAUUGUAAUUUCUUUGUUGUUAUCAACAGCUUUAAUUAAUCUUGAUAUAUAUAUAACUUAGUAGAAGUAAUUAAUCUAGAUUGUAGUUGCACUAAGAUAAUAGGCAAUAUUAUAACAGUGCCACAAUGCUCAUCGCCAAAUAGAAAGGUAGAAAAACUACAAUGAGUAACUCACACAACAUUCUCAAACAGGACAUAGCGGCGACUGAUACAUAGAACACUAUUGGCACUCAGGAAAUGAUAAGAUCAGUGCCCAGCAGGCAGCACGUCUUAUUUUACAUACUACUUAAAACUAACCAAAGUCAUUCAGUUGGGAUGGGUGGGAGAUGGUGGUUUGUGCGGUGGCUUCUUUCCUGGAACUGGUGGUUUUUUUGUUGGAGUUGAAGGAGGCUUAAUCGUCUGAGGUGGCUUGUAUGAGUCUUCAGCACUCUCUGCAAGAGGGUGCCCAGGGUUGUGACCAUAAUGAGGUGGCUUCUCUCCCUUAGGUGGUUUGCCAAGUGGGCUGGCUGGCUUGUGCUCCGGGAGCGGCUUCUCUCCCUUAGGUGGUUUGCCAAAUGGGCUUGCUGGCUUGUGCUCUGGGAGCGGCUUCUCUCCCCCAAGAAGUUUGCGGGUUUUGUCAGAUGGCUUGUGUUCUGGUGGUGGCUUCUCUCCUUGGG